This 253-nucleotide ribosomal RNA is filed under the name uncultured bacterium. Its description in RNAcentral is "partial 16S ribosomal RNA". It matches the Rfam family "Bacterial small subunit ribosomal RNA", at positions 524 to 776 of the family's 1533-position model. The record is from RNAcentral.
UACGAGUGGUGCAAACGUUAUUCGGAUUUACUGGGCGUAAAGGGUGCGUAGACGGUUUAGUAAGUCAACUGUUAAAUAUUCCGGCCUAACCGGAAACCAGCGGUAGAAACUACUAAACUAGAGGAUGGAAGAGAGAAGUGGAAUUCUCGGAGUAGCGGUAAAAUGCGUAGAUCUCGAGAGGAACACCGAUGGCGAAAGCAGCUUCUUGGUCCAUUUCUGACGUUGAGGCACGAAAGCGUGGGGAGCAAACAGG